GUAGUCAUAAUUUAAUUAAAAUACUAGAUUGUGAUUCUAAAAAGAGAGUAAAUCUCUCUGACUACC
This 66-nucleotide transfer RNA is filed under the name Phrynobatrachus keniensis (Kenya river frog). RNAcentral describes it as "tRNA-His". Lineage: Eukaryota; Metazoa; Chordata; Amphibia; Anura; Phrynobatrachidae. The record is from RNAcentral.